UAACAUAUUCUAACCCCAAACAACAUUAUAUAAGUCAUUUAGUGGUUCAACUCAAUGUUUUCGAGUUCUUAGCCCAUUUGGGACCCAAUUUCAACAAGUUUUUCUACACACUUCUAAACACUCUUCAUGCAUCUCUAGCACUUGUAAUCAAUCAAAGUUAUUGUAUUCUAACAUAUUCUAACCCCAAGCAACAGUAGAUAAGUCAUUUAGUGGUUCAACUCAAUGUUUCCGAGUUCUUAGCCCAUUUGGG
This 250-nucleotide long non-coding RNA is filed under the name Capsella rubella. Its description in RNAcentral is "long non-coding RNA (CRUB_LNC000581)". Lineage: Eukaryota; Viridiplantae; Streptophyta; Magnoliopsida; Brassicales; Brassicaceae. The record is from RNAcentral.